AUGAAUGCUUGCAGAAGGAUACAUUCUCUCCGUGCUCACAGACAGAAAACUAAUGGAAACAAAAUUGAGAACUGGCAUAGCACCUCUGGGUUCAAGCACCAGCACGGAGAUGAUCUUGUUAUAGUCCACACCCUUUACACAGUGAUCAUCAUGAUCCUUCUAGUGGCACUCUGGGGAGCCUGGUCAAGAAAGGACUCAUCCUCAUAGCACCAAUAUAACAACUUCGUUUGUGAAAUAUUUAAAGAAGUAUUUGUGUCAAUUAUCCAUACUCAAGAGGCUCAAAAAAAUGGUCUCAGCAUAUUUCAGUUUACUUUAAACUGUUUAAAUGGUUGCUACUUGUGGAAAUGACUCUAUGAAGCAAUUUAACAAGCCAUUUACAGAACAUAAUUUUGUGAAUAACAGAGACUUGUUUGACCUGUACACAUUUUUAUUACUCUCAGCAUGUAUAUGAAACUUUAAGCAUGAUAUUCUAAAAAGAAGAGUUCAAUUUGUGUUUUAUUGGUCAAUGUUUUGUAUGUCCACCCCAGCUUUCCAUUUGUGAACUUGUCAAGUCUACCUCUGCUAAGUUUGCCUGUCCCAGUCCAUGGUAAAACAUAUACUAUAAGGAGGGAAAUAACCUGCCAUGUCACAACAACAUAGGAAAAAAUAAUGAACAAACCCAGCUAUUCUGCUGGCAAAGGAAGAUCACUGAAAAAGUCAAAUUCUCAUCUCCAUUGCUGAAGAGAGUUUAUAUGGGACUUGCAUCCGUUAUUUUUAAAUUAUGGUAAUGACUUCUUAAACUCAGGAAUAAAAUGAUGAAAUAAGCUGCUUUUGUGAAUCUUUUGUCACAGAACCAGAAGGCUCAGUCUUCAUCUUGUAUGUAUUUAUCUGCAACCACCACUUGUUUUUUCACAAUUCAUUAACAUCUCAUGGCAACACCAGCUUCUAAGUACACUAGCCCAUCACUGAUGGGGGUCAUUCUAUCAGUGCUUUAACACAGGAGCAGUGCUUUGUUGAUGCUCCCUAAAGAGCAGCACACAAAGGAAUACUUAAGAAAAGAUGAUUGGCACAUUAAAUACAUGGUCACAGAACAUGGGACCCAGUCUUAAAACAUGUAGCAUGAACAUUACAAGUGAACACAAAAGGGUGGGUCCUCCCUUGUAAAAAAUGUUUGAGGUACAUGAGAUGGGAAAGGGACCUACAUGUUCUGACAGUGGCACAAAACUCCCAGUGAUCAGGGUUGUGGGACAGGCAAUGGCCUCAGAAUUCUGGAAUUCAAACACAAAAUCCCAAAUGCACGCCACCAAGGGAAAAAAAAACUAGAAUAACUGAUCACACAUCAUGAUGUUGCAUUUAGUUGUUAAAUUUAUAAAUUCUGCAGGUAUAAUCCUUGCCUCUGAAGCACUGGAGGUCCAAAUAAGGAUUGAAAAUACUUAAUUUUCCUCUUUCACCUCGUGAUGGAGGAGAUGAGGUAUGAAAGUUCAGAAGAGACUGCUGCAGAACAUUAAAUGUUUCAAAAAGUGUAUUUUUUUCUUAAAUUUUUGCUUUCCUGGAAAACAGCCUUGGUUGAUUUAACAGUAACAUUAGCAAUCUAAAUUAAAUAAUUUUUAACAUGUUCCAGAAAGACAACUGUAUCUUUGCAGGGUGAACAAAACCUACUUUUAUUAUCAGUUUUUGUAAAUAACUCAUUUAAGUAAGAUAAUGCAACCAUGUCUAGGGAAACCUGUGGUCUUGCAGGGCAUAGUCUUUAAUGCAAACAGACCCAAAUCAUCUGCCUGACUGAACAACACUUUGGAGACUUCAGCUCCCAAAAUAAUUUCCUGUAAAUCCAUCCAUGAAAAACACCUCAUUUGGGUAAAUCACAAUUUAACUUAUGUCAAAGUAACAAGCUAUUUAAUGUCUCUACACCAAUGAAAUAGAUGGAGAAAUAGAAACUAGGAAUCCAAGUUUGGUUGGAACUUGUGUGUCAAAACUUUUAUGCAGCAAUCAUUAUAUUACUAUUUCUCCUGUAUUAACCAGACCGGACAGAUGUUUUAUAUGUGUUCAAAAAAGGCAGUGGUUUAAGUAAGUCUGUCUGCUGUUAUUUUAAACAAAAACAUUGUAGUUCUGCCAGUAAAUCUUGUGAUAUAUUCCAUGUACCAAUUGGACUGUCAGAAAAGAAAAACAAGUCUCUUAUUUUCCAUGGUCAUUCUCACAUGCUGAUGUGACACACUUUUGUUUUUAAAGACUCAAGUCCUUCCAAGCUCCAUUGCCUCACAUUUUCCUUUAGAGAGGAUGAUGCAUUCUGUAAAGCCAUCUUUAAUGCAAGAAGUUGGCACAGCCAUUUGUCCCUAACCUUGUAAUUCCCUUAGUGCUUCAUAACUAAAUUUGCCAUUGGUCUGGUUGGUAAGAAAAGGAUGGUAUUUGUACUACUGUGUUUUAACUAAGGGAAGACUUAACUGAAAUCAAAAUGCAAAACUGAAGCUGUUUCUGUAUUAAACACAGAAACACGGACAAAAACAGGUCUAUAUAUCAGUUCACUGGUCUGUUUACUGUAUGGGACAUUUCAACUUUCCUUCAAAAUGUAUGUGUAAGAAUGUGAGGCAUUCUCUUCCAAAGAUCUUUUAAGUACACAGAUCACAAUACCUCAGAAAACACCAGAAAAAAAAAUGCAGAUAGCUGUAGUUUUAUGCACAUCCCAGAAAAAUAAUACAGCAUAAAAAUAACAAACAGUGUGGACUUCUACCUAAUUAGGGCAGUAGUUUUACUUAAACAGGAUGCAUACAUGUGAUUAAAUGAUACACAUUCACAGCUGUUGCACCUCGUGACUAUUGGAAAUCAAU
Long non-coding RNA from Catharus ustulatus (Swainson's thrush), 2801 nucleotides. NCBI's taxonomy places the organism in Eukaryota, Metazoa, Chordata, Aves, Passeriformes, Turdidae. The record is from Ensembl.